UGGACUCGGGUAGUGGCGCACGGGUGCGUACGCGUGGGAACCUGCCUUUAGGUUCGGAAUAACUCAGAGAAAUUUGAGCUAAUACCGGAUAAUGUCUUCGGACCAAAGAUUUAUCGCCUUUAGAUGGGCCCGCGUUAGAUUAGAUAGUUGGUGGGGUAAUGGCCUACCAAGUCGACGAUCUAUAGCUGGUCUGAGAGGAUGAUCAGCCACACUGGGACUGAGACACGGCCCAGACUCCUACGGGAGGCAGCAGUGGGGAAUAUUGGACAAUGGGCGAAAGCCUGAUCCAGCAAUGCCGCGUGAGUGAUGAAGGCCUUAGGGUUGUAAAGCUCUUUUACUAGGGAUGAUAAUGACAGUACCUAGAGAAUAAGCUCCGGCUAACUCCGUGCCAGCAGCCGCGGUAAUACGGAGGGAGCUAGCGUUGUUCGGAAUUACUGGGCGUAAAGCGCGCGUAGGCGGCUUAUCAAGUCAGGGGUGAAACCCCGGAGCUCAACUCCGGAACUGCCCUUGAAACUGGUUGGCUAGAAUAUUGGAGAGGUAAGUGGAAUUCCGAGUGUGGAGGUGAAAUUCGUAGAUAUUCGGAAGAACACCAGUGGCGGAGGCGACUUACUGGACAAUUAUUGACGCUGAGGUGCGAAAGCGUGGGGAGC
Molecule: ribosomal RNA, 650 nt
Filed under: uncultured bacterium
Lineage: Bacteria
Description: bacterial SSU rRNA
Rfam family: Bacterial small subunit ribosomal RNA
Source: RNAcentral